This is a long non-coding RNA of Homo sapiens (human), 996 nucleotides long. Lineage: Eukaryota; Metazoa; Chordata; Mammalia; Primates; Hominidae. The record is from Ensembl.
AAUUACAACCCUUAUAAAGCUGGGUUGUGGUCGGGUGCGGUGGCUCAUGCCUGUAAUCCCAGCACUUGGGAGACUGAGGCAUGUGAGUCGCCUGAACCCGGGAGGCAGAGGUUGAAGUGAGCCGAGAUCGUGCCACUGCACUCCAGCCUGGGCGACAGAGCGAGACUCCGUCUCAAAAUAGAGACGGGGUUUCACCGUGUUAGCCAGGAUCGUCUGGAUCUCCUGACCUCGUGAUCCACCCGCCUUGGCCUCCCAAAGUGCUAGGAUUACAGGCGUGGGACACCGUGCCCAGCCCAGGUCAGCCUGUUUCUAGGACCCAUCACUCUGAACCUCUAGUAACAAGAGGAUUCAGAAUCUGAGAGAUACUGCUUAAAAGGAAAAUGUCCUGGAGGGAUGCCAAACUGCACUCUCAAAGGUUUCGGCUGGAUGUGUGAUAUUGAUGGGGAAACCCAUUUCAGUGUCUCUAAGAAGGGGGUAGUGCUCCUCUUUCCAGGAUGUCUCUGGGGAAUCUAGAGCACCCCAAAGUGUGGUAUGCAUAGAAACAUUGCUGCUUAAGGUCUGAAUAUUUGUUCCUCAUCAAUUCAUGUGUUGAAAUUCUAACCUCUCCUGAAUGGGAUUAGUGCUCUUACACGAGAGGCCUGACAGAGACUCCUCACCCUUCCCACCAUGCGAAGACACAGUGAGAAGGCUCAGUCUAUGAACCAAAAUGUUGACUGUCACCAUUUACUCAAUCUGCUGUCGCCUUGAGCUUGGACUUCCCAGCCUCCAGAACUGUGAGAAAUAAAUUUCUGUUGCUUAUAAGACAACCAGUUUAUGACAUUUCGUUAUAGCAGCCUGAAUGGACUAAGACACCCUUCCCACCAUGUGAAGACAGAGUGAGAAGGUUCGGUCUAUGAACCAAAAACUGACCCUCACCAGUCAUUGAAUCUGCUGGUGCCUUGAUCUUGGACUUCCCAGCCUCCAGAACUGUGAGAAAUAAAUUUCUGUCGUUUAUAA